Molecule: long non-coding RNA, 1440 nt
Filed under: Marmota monax (woodchuck)
Lineage: Eukaryota; Metazoa; Chordata; Mammalia; Rodentia; Sciuridae
Source: RNAcentral
GUUGGAUUUACCAAGGAUUUACUGACUUAACCCAGGCCAGAAAGUGACUGAAUCUACACUCUUGAACUAAAAUCUAAGUUAUCUUUACUAAGGUCACAUUAAGAACCAUACUUCCACAGAGUGAGCUGGUCUGGGCUCAGUGGGCUCUCAAAAUAUUAUAGGAUUUAAAUUCCAUUGCCUCUUAGAUAAUUACCUAGAAAUUCUUUCCAAGAAAAAGAGCUGUUGACCUCAUACCUCUGCCUGUUGUUGUCCCACUUUCAGCAGGGACUAUGUAUUGGAUUCAUACCCCCAAGGAGGACUUGUGGUAGUUUGAGCUGGUGGUGGUUGACCCUCUGUACCAUAAAGUCACUUUGGCUUCACCUUUCACAGUAGCAGACUUCCCUAAGGAAAAGCCCGAUCAAGGCAAAGUGGAAUAGUAAUCCAAUGGAAAAAUAAACCACUUUUAAAAAACUUUCUCAUUUUGGAAAAAAUGCAAACAUAUACAAAAUUAGACUAGAAUAAUGAACCCCCAUAUUCUAGCACCAAUAAUUAAUGAUUUCUGUUCAUCCAUAAAAUGUCAUACACACGCGUGCGCGCGCGCACACACGCGCGCGCACGUGUGGGUAUGUGCAGUUGUAAGUUGUUUAAAGUAGUUGGUCCUUUUUAUUCACAGAUUUCAUAUUUGCAAGUUUACCUACUUGCUUAAACUUAUCUUUAACCCCACAAUCAGUACCUGAAGUACUUUCAUGGUCAUUCGUGGACCUGCACAGAUUGGCCAAGCACUCAAUGUUCUCAGUUGAGUUUGGAUAAAAUGACACACUGUCUUCUUGUUUUAGCUCUUAUGCCAUAUCUUUUUCAUAGUCUAUCUAAUGCCACAUUUUAUGCCUUUUGUUGAUGAUUUCACUGUUUAAAAUGGCCCCUAAUCAUUACACUGAUAUGUUGUCUAGUGUUCCUAAUUGCCAGAAGUGAUGUGCCUUAUGGAGAAAAUAUAUGUAUUAGAUAAGCUUCAUUUAGGCAUGAGUUAUAAUACUUUUGGUUGUGAGUUCAAUGUUAAUGAAUCAACAAUAUGGUACAUCCAGAAAAAGGAAGAAGAAAUUUGCCCGUUAAUAUGUGAGGCUUGGGGCCGGAGUUGUGGCUCACUGGUAGAGCACUUGGCUAGCAUGUGUAAGGCAAUGGAUUCAAUCCCCGGCAUCACGUAAAAAAUAAAGUAAAUUAAAAAUAAAAUAAAGUAAAGAUAUUGUGUUCAUUUACAACUAAAAUAAAAUAUGUGAGCCUUCUCUGGGAAGAGAUAAGAUACCAUCUUUAGUGUGAGAUGAAGCUGUGAAAUAGAUGGAAAAGCACCUAAAUUAAUGGGUUUAUGAGAUGACUGAUUUUAAAAAGCAGAGUGGAGAGCACUGUUGUGUGGCUGAAAACUAAAGUCAUUUAUGGUCAUGCUACCUGAGAGCAGGAAAAAUUUAAACC